Long non-coding RNA from Bos taurus (domestic cattle), 2769 nucleotides. The record is from Ensembl. Lineage: Eukaryota; Metazoa; Chordata; Mammalia; Artiodactyla; Bovidae.
AGGAUUAAAAAGCAAAACCUUUGGAGGAUUUCCCUGGGGGCCCAGUGCUUAGGACUCCAUGCUUCCAGCGCUGGGUGUGUGUGUUUGAUCCCUGCUCAGGGGACUGUGAUACCACAUGCCAAGUGGUGCAGCAUCCCCCCAAAUUUUUUAAUCAAUAAGUAAAAGUAAAAAGCAAAACCUUUGGAAAAUCCAACAAUGAAAAACUACAGCUGUGUCUUUUCCUACCUUGAAUCCCGAUCCCUAAAGAGCCCCUCAGUGUAGACCCUGGUCGGCUCUGCCGGUGUUGGAAACACUGCCACCUGCUGGACCCUUUGAGAAUGUCAGCAGGCCCUGCCCUUCAAACCCAGUCGCAAACUUGACUGGUGCCAGCGUCAGCAACUCAGCCACCAGAGUCGGGGUGCACGGGACCCAAGACCUGUGGCUGCCAGUUGCUCGAGGGAGAGAUUAGUCGAGCCAGAAUAUUGGCCAGAAUAUAGACAUAAUUAGACAUAGUUUUUAACAUUUAAGAGAACUGUAUUAAAUUCCAGGACUUGCCUCUUGAAAUGAUCUCAUUCUAUGAUUAUGUUACCUCCAUUGGGCUUCCCUGGUGGCUUAGGCCAUGAAGAAUCUGACUCGGGUCUGAUCCCUAAAGAAGGAAAUGACUACCCACUCCAGUAUUCUUGCCUGGAGAAUUCCAUGGACAGAGGAGCCUGACAGGCUACAGUCCAUGGGAUCACAAAGAGUCGGACAAGACUGAGCGAUUAACUUUCACUUUCACUUUGUCAUUCGCUGAAGGAUUUGGGAACAGAAAGGUCAAGACCUCCUCUGUCCUCUGUAGAUCUUCAGGCCCUGAUUUGAAAUGAUGUGUGUGCUCAGCCCUAGACUUUCAAGGCAGCUUCAAGUGAGAUAUGUUCUGACCAGAUUCCAGCCUCCAGUCCCUGUUCCCAGCCCUUCACCAGAGCCGUCGGGUAAAUUUUCUAAUCCUCUCCGGGACAUUCCUAUUUCCUGCCGAGAAGUAAGAAAACAACAGUGCUUCCCUAAGGGCGGUAUGCCUCAGCCCUGCCUCGCAAUCUCCAUUUUAGGAAAAAUGUUUCCCCGAGCACGAAUCCUCUGAAAGGAAAAGGCCUGUGAGUCUCCUGGGAAAGAAUAUGAGACCCCACCGUGAGGAUUUGCCGUAGAAUUUCGCUGCAUUCCUCUGCGGGACUGGGCUGUCUAGGAAGUUCAUUUUGAUUUAAAAAUAUAUCAGAAUGGGAAUGUGUUUGUGUGAGUAGGCGUGUGAAACAGAUUUGAAAAAAAGACAGGCAAAAAUAAAGUGGGGAGAUAAGGAGAGAGGUCAAAGGCAAAUAGUUCUUUCCUUCUAAAAGGAUCUCUUCAGAGUGCUUGGAUUUUUUAUUAUGGAAAUACUCAAAACAUUCAAAACUAGAGAAAAUAGUCUAAUGAACCACUGGGUGCCCCUCAUCCCGCUUCAACAAUUAUCAACAUUGCCAACCUUUAUCACUUAUCUGCUCCUCUUCUUUUUUUGUACUAGAGCUGGGCCUGGCCAAAUCCAUGGCCAAAACCAACUUGCCUCUUGUUUUUCAGGGGAAAGAAAAAAAGGUUUACUGGAACACAGCCAUUCCCAAUGGUUUCUAUUGUCUAUACCUGUGUUCACAUCCCAGCAGCAGAGGUGAAUAGUUGUGACAGAAAUCGUGUGACCCACGUGCCUGAAAUAUUUCUUGUCUGGUCUUUCACAGAAAAUAUUUACACACGCACUCAGCCCUGUGCACAUGCAUGCCUGCUCAGUCAUGUCCUACCGUUUGCAGCCCCAUGCACUGAAGCCCACCAGGCUUCUCUGUCCAUGGGAUUCUCCAGGCAAGAACACCGGAGUGGGUGGGCAUGCCCUUCUCCAGGGGAUCUUUCCCACCCAGGGAUCAAACCCAGGUCCGUAGCACUGCAGGCAGAUUCUUUACUGUCUGAGCCGUCUCUUUUACUCACACUUAUUUGUUGAAGAAACCAGACUCUUUGUCCUACAAAAUCGCCACAUUUCGGAUAUAGUUGGGUAUAUGCUCAUUGCACCAUUUUACAUGACCACAAUGCAUUAUUUUUAAUUAGAGUAGGCCUUAAAAAAAAAAUGGAGUACAGUUGAAUUACAACGUUGUGUUAGUUUCAGGUAUACAGCAAAGUGUUUCACUUGCUGCUGCUGCUGCUGCUAAGUCGAUUCAGUCGUGUCCGACUCUGUGGGACCCCGUAGGCGGAAGCCCACCAGGCUCCCUCACCCCUGGGAUUCUCCAGGCAAGAAUACUGGAGUGGGUUGCCAUUUCCUUCUCCAAUGCAUGAAAGUGAAAAGUGAAAAGGAAGUCGCUCAGUCGUGUCCGACUCUUAGCAACCCCAUGGACUGCAGCCUACCAGGCUCCUCCAUCCAUGGGAUUUUCCAGGCAAGAGUACUGGAGUGGGGUGCCAUUGCCUUCUCCGGUGUUUCAGUUAUAUAUAUACAUAUACACACACACUUUUUCAAGAUAGUGAAUAUGGUUCCCUGGUCUAUAUAGUAAGUCUUAUUGUUUAUCUGCUUUGUAUUUAGUGGUGUGUAGUGUGUAUCUAUUAAUCCCAAUCUCCUAAUUUAUCCCUCCCUACCCUUUCCCCUUUGAUAGCCAUGUUUGUUUUCUAAGCCCGUGAGUCUAUUUUUGUUUCGUAAAUAAAUUCCUUUGCAUAAUUUUUUUAAGAUUCCACCUUGAAGUGAUAUUGUAUGAUAUUUGUCUUUCUCCAUCUGACUUACUUCAGUAUGUUAAUAGUAUGAUAAUAUCUACAUCCAUC